AUCCAGCCGAAUAGUCCCAAUUAGGACGAAACGGGCGUCAAACUGGAU
This 48-nucleotide non-coding RNA is filed under the name Schistosoma curassoni. The record is from RNAcentral. Lineage: Eukaryota; Metazoa; Platyhelminthes; Trematoda; Strigeidida; Schistosomatidae.